UCCUAUGUAAAAUGAAGUGGAUCUAGGUGAAUGCUAACUUCUAAAUCUGUAAAUUGAAUUUAAAAAAUGCACAAUUUUAUAUUUGGAGAGAGAGAGAAACAGAGGAAAGCAUCAUGGGAAGCGGGACUUCCAGGCUGACUCAACCAAGGAGAAGCCCAUUUCUGACUAACUCCCACAAAGACAAAAAAAAAAAGAAUAGAGCAUGGUGAUAUCAUUCAGUAAACAAUCUUUCCGUACUGCCCAUUGAAAACCUCAAGGCUGCGGCUUGCGUGGCAUCCCUGUUUGUGGGUAACAAAGACAAUUCUCAACUGUUCUAGUUAGGGAAUGAAGGCUAAUUGGAGGGAAAGAAGGUCUGUGGCUGAGAAAAUACCAGCCAGGAGGAGGUGGGAAGUGAUUAGGAUGGAGACUGCCUUCCCUCUCAUCCAUUCAUGAUGAUAUCUCUCAAAGGGAAGUUUCCAGAAGGGGGAGGGAGGCAGAGGGAGGCAGGGCACUCAGUAAUAAUCUCUCUUGUCCAGAAAUCAGCAGAUAUGUGCCUGGGGUGAAGGACCGUCAAUUCAUCUGUGGAGGGGUGGCUGUGUCACCCCUGGAAUGCUUCAAGACUGCAAUGAGAAAGGCAGCAAGACCUCUCCUGCAUUGACAAAUGAUGACAAGGUGGACAAUGGAGGAACAUAGAACCUGUACUCUGGGGACUCUGGCAUUCCAGAGGUAGGAAUAGGUGUAAAUGGAAAGGGGAGAUGGAACACAGGAGAAGAGAUGAUAGA
Molecule: long non-coding RNA, 761 nt
Filed under: Monodelphis domestica (gray short-tailed opossum)
Lineage: Eukaryota; Metazoa; Chordata; Mammalia; Didelphimorphia; Didelphidae
Description: lncRNA (ENSMODG00000049890.1)
Source: RNAcentral